CCUACGGGAGGCUGCAGUGGGGAAUAUUGCACAAUGGGGGAAACCCUGAUGCAGCAACGCCGCGUGAGUGAUGACGGCCUUCGGGUUGUAAAGCUCUGUCUUUAGGGACGAUAAUGACGGUACCUGAGGAGGAAGCCACGGCUUACUACGUGCAAGCAGCCGCGGUAAUACGUAGGUGGCGAGCGUUGUCCGGAUUUACUGGGCGUAAAGGGAGCGUAGGCGGACUUUUAAGUGAGAUGUGAAAUACUCGGGCUCAACUUGAAUGGUGCAUUUGAUACUGUAAGUCUAGAGUGCAGGAGAGGAGGAUGGAAUUCGUGGUGUAGCGGUGAAAUGCGUAGAGAUUAGGAAGAACACCAGUGGCGAAGGCGAUUCUCUGGACUGUAACUGACACUGAGGCUCGAAAGCGUGGGGAGCAAACAGGAUUAGAUACCCUUGUAGUC
Molecule: ribosomal RNA, 440 nt
Filed under: uncultured bacterium
Lineage: Bacteria
Description: partial 16S ribosomal RNA
Rfam family: Bacterial small subunit ribosomal RNA
Source: RNAcentral